UGCUGGUAAAAUGAAAACAGGCUCGUCCAUCCCAGCACGGAUAUCCAUCCCUCCCUUUUUCCCUUUCUUAACCUCUCCAGGGAUCGGAGAUAGUCAUUUAUAGUCGUUUUUCAUCCGUGAGGUCUGGACACACUCAUCUUCCCGUCUCUCUUCACUCCAACGCGACCUGCAAGAGCUGAAGCUCAAAACGCAGUGGAACAGUAAAAAAAAAAUGGAUUAAAGAAAAACUGGCCUGGACGAAGGUCUAAAUUUAAAGAAAUGUAAAUAAACAAACAAACAAAAAAAAACAGUAAAAGUUUACUCUCUGAGGCCACGCUAGAGCUCGAAGCUAUUGAGUGAAUGCUAACCUGGAGAGUAACAACUACUAUACUGUGUGUUAGCGAGUAAAACUCAUUAGGUUUUCUAGCAUUGAGAAUAAACUCUAACUUAGCAAGUGACAACUAACUUAUAAACAAAUUAAAAGCCAAUCUAGAAAGUGGAAGCUAAUCUAACGAACGAUGAUAAACCUAGCAAGUGAGAGCUAACUUUACAAGCAAAAUGUACUCUACUGAAAGAAAUCAAACUUAAGAACUGAAAGCUAGCCUAGCAGUAGUGAAUGAAAGCUAACCUAGCAAAUUAAAGCUAAGAUAGCUACUUAAAAAUAACAGCAAUGUGUUCCAGUGGUUCACGAAAUCUGACGAGGACUUUAAAUGAUCUAAAUGUAGCUGUCUAACAUGUGCUGAUUAGCUUAGCUAACUACUGUAAUGCUAGCAUGAUGCUGUAUUUCUGUGACACUUGUAAGACGAUGACGAAGACAAUCUUCCUUGUCUGAUUGGCUAAUCACAACACUUCAUCACACGUUUGCAUGAAGGCUUGCGUUGUCUGGAAAAAUACCUGCAUUACGUCCGUAGGCGAGCGGAUUUUGAGCACCAAUAUGGUCAUGUGACCUCGUGCAGGUGGCUAUGUGUAGUAUGAUGUCACCAGCAUGUCAUCAUCUCUAAUAAGGAAAUGUUUCAGCGAGAUGAAAGAUCAGGUUUUUUAAAUAUGUUUAGGAAGACAGGACUAAGUAGUGCGCACUAGAGGAGGGUUAAUGCCAUGCGCGGUCACCGUGCUGUGUUGUGUAUAAAGGUCAUGUCUUUUCUUUGAAUGGACGUCUGGUCUCUCGCCGGACCCUCAGAUCCAGUCUCUGGUGAGCCUCUUUCAGAAGUCAUGGCUCGAGGCGCCGAGCUCUGGAAAAGGCUUGCCGCGUCCCUCCUAAAUUAUUCAGAGGUGGAAAACAUUAAAAAAAGGAGAAGGGAGACUACUGAGGAAGCGGAGGGUUCAGGCCCGGCUCAGAUCACAGGGGGACUCCUGCUUAACCCGCCUUGAAGUAGUGAAUACAGUGAUACUGGGGUCUUUGUUGGGGUCUAGGAUGCGAGAAAAGAUCCGCGGAUCGAUACGGAGCCGUGCUGGAGGUCCGCGGGGAGCGACGCGCUCACUGAUCAGAGCGCAUUCCAGGCCUGGAGUGGACACGCUGAAACCGCUACACAGCACAAUAACAACACAACAACAACAUAACACAAUAACAACACAAUAACACAAUAACAACACAAUAACAACACCAAUACAGCACAGCACAACACAACACACACUUACUCACAUUCCCAAAUCCAGUACACCAUCCUAUUCACAGAAAAACUGACACAAUAUUUAACUGGAAUUCGUCUGAUCUCAUUUUAUACACUAAUCGUUCUUAAUCUUCAGGAUUUCAAACUCGGACUCGUAACGAAACUUCAAGCUGAGACUCGUCAAAACACGUUUACGUAAUAAAACACUGAAAUACUGAGUUACUGUUUCCACCCUGAGGAGUGUUUUAUUCCUUUUUGACCUCAGCACACAGCCAACAGCUACUUCAAGCACAAGUUUUUAUCCAUUUAUGAAUACAUUUAAAGUUUGUUCCUGUUUUCACUUGAGUUACAGCAGCCGUAAACCGUCAGUCAGAUUUUUUUGUCGUGUUUUUGUUGUUG
This is a long non-coding RNA of Ictalurus punctatus (channel catfish), 1985 nucleotides long. Lineage: Eukaryota; Metazoa; Chordata; Actinopteri; Siluriformes; Ictaluridae. The record is from Ensembl.